Anopheles gambiae (African malaria mosquito) is the source of this 2253-nucleotide long non-coding RNA. RefSeq lists it as uncharacterized. Lineage: Eukaryota; Metazoa; Arthropoda; Insecta; Diptera; Culicidae. The transcript has 3 exons. The record is from RefSeq and is a predicted model, not a curated record.
AGAGUGUGGAAAACCGCUCAGUCUUCGAGCUGCCAGCAAGCAGGACGCACACGCAACAACAACGGUGGUGCUGUUUGGAUUUGUUCGUUGUUGGUUGGGGGGCCCAACCGUCGACACUUACAUUGGGACAAACCAUCCCCCCCUCCCCACCACCCUUUCCCCCAGCCCCGCUAUCACAUUCAGUGGGUGGGAACAGCCACCGGUCAACUGCUGCUGGAGUGCCGUUGCGGUUUAGUGGUGUGCCGCGGUCGAAAAAAAAGGGUAAUGGUGGUGACGCACAAUGAGCAAAAGUGUAGUGUAGUGCAGUGAAUAGAUAACCUCCGCCAUUGAGAAGGCUCAACAUGUGGAAUAUACCAGAAAAGCAUAAGAUAAACAUGUGAAAUAUUAGGUGUGUACAAAAAGAGAAAAAAAACAGGUGAAGAAGUGUAAAAAUAUAAUCUAGUUAUUGCUAUGAAGUGUUAUAAAAUGAAGAAUACAAGAUAUAAAUAUAAAUAUAAAUAUACUCGCUGUGUAGAAUAUUUACAGAAAUAUAAUAGUGUUGUAGUGUUGUUACCUCAAAAAUAAUAAUAAAAUAAAAUAAAAUAAUAGUAUUAAAAAUAAGUGAACGAAGAAGCUACCCUUGCUAAGUGUGACCAUUCCUAAAGUAUAAGUAUGUGCUCGCGGUUCUGAAACGUUUGCGUGUGUGCGAGCGAAACGAGCGUAACAACUCUGAAGUGUUAAAAAAGAGCCCGCGUCACGUUGCGUUAACUUGACAGCUAUCGCACAGCGGGCACGUAUUAUUCGCGCGUUCGCCGCGUUCCGGCGUUGUCAAAAAGUGCUCCAGCUGGCAGCUGUGGUACGCGCGUCCAGUGCAAUGCGAUCCCGUUUUCUUGUGCGGGUAGCAAAACAAAAAGAAAAAAAAAGUUCAUUUGUGAUCGUAAAUAUACACGCUACUGUGGCACGGUGUUUCUAUGAAAAAAAUGGCGUGUAACGUUUGUGAGUUAAACAAGAAAGAGGGUGUACUGUGUCUGUGUGCUUCUCGGUGUUAGUAGGUGUGCUAGUUUUGACGUAUUAUUAGUGGAAACUAACCUUAAAAAGCUAACCACCACACACAAACACGCGCGAGUGAUAUCGAAAGAAACGCAACGAUCGAUGUGAUCGUAGCCGGAAAUGAGCCUGCCAGUUGGUGGCUGAAAUCGGUGGAAUGUUUCGAGCCGCCACGCAGCCAAUGCCCCAGCGUUUCGAGGGGAAAAUCUGUCGCGAUAUGAAUUUCCGAUUAGCAUAAAUUUCCACUGAUGCCGUUUUCAAAACGUGUGAACGUCAAAGGUAAUAAUGAAUUAAUUGUAUUUGUACGAUGGCUUAGUUUACUUCCCCUCUUUCGGUUAGCAUACAAAUGUUUCCUAAUUAUUAGUCAAUACACCGCCCUUUGAUCCCAUGAUUUGCCUAGCUACGUAACCACGUAGAUGGCGCUACUGUAAAAUGUGGAGUUGUUGAUUCAUCGUCUCGAGAUGGCGCUGCUGUUGGUUUUACGGCGUAAUUCAAGUGUACAGCAGAUUGCCUAUAUUUUGGCGCAAUUCAAUCCUAAACAACCUCAAAAACUUAAACUGACUACCAAUCUCCAAUGUCCUAUUAAGCGAAAUUCGUUGUCAUGGUUGCAUACAUGUAGGCGUUUUAAUACAAUUAUUUUUAAACGUGUAUUUCACCUUAUAUCUUUAAUUAUAUAAAUUUAUUUAUUUUUAUUUAAUACACAUUCUUACUCUUUAAUACAUUUCAUCUGUGUAAGUACUUCGCUCUUUCUUAUCCCGCCCAAUCCAGUGCCUAGCCACACUCUCAGAUUCUUUCAUCUUAAAAUGGCUAAUAAUAAUCAUAAAUAAUUUCUGAACGCUCUUCUUUUAGAAGCUUUACUUUUGAACCAUGUUUUCCUUUGAUCCCAAAAUCGCCACCAUCUGGUAGUCUGUUUAUGCUCAUUUAUUGAGCGGCUUUGUCAUCCCUGCAAAUGACCUUGUGCCGUUGCGCGUCAAACCUCCUGCGUAAACACGGGACGCGGGUAGUCGUACAACGCAUGCUUUGCGCAUGGUUAACAACGUACUUAGCACUACGGCAACUACGAUUACCGCUAGCAUCACACAAAGCACCAUCCCACAUACCGCGGGAGGGAGGUUUUUUUACCAUUUUUUGUCUGCCGAAACACUGCCGGAAACCAUAUGGCCCACCCGCGGAUCGGCUUCGCUUUACCGCUCGUUAGAGGCGAGUCAUUUAUUUACAAACAAUUUG